UUUAGAAAUUAAUUUAAAGUCGGGCCUGCCCAUUGAAUAAUUUUAAAAGGCCGCAGUAUAUUAACUGUGCAAAGGUAGCAUAAUCAUUAGUCUUUUAAUUGAAGGCUAGAAUGAAUGGCUGGACGAGAUAUAAACUGUUUUAUUUAAAUUUAUAUAAAAUUUUAUUUUUUAGUAAAAAAGCUAAAAUUUUAUUAAAAGACGAGAAGACCCUAUAGAUCUUUAUAUCAUUGCUUAUAAAAAUUAUAAAGAAUAAUAUUAUUUAUAUAAUUAAGGUAUUUUGUUGGGGAGACAAUAAGAUUUUUAUAACUCUUAUAAUUAUAUUCCAAUUAUUUUUGAUUAUUUGAUCCAAUAGUAUUGAUUAAAAAAUUAAGUUACCUUAGGGAUAACAGCGUAAUUUUUUUGGAGAGUUCAUAUCGAUAAAAAAGUUUGCGACCUCGAUGUUGGAUUAAGAUAUAUAAUUAGGUGCAGAAUUUUAGUUAUUAAGUCUGUUCGACUUUAGUUUCUUACAUGAUCU
Molecule: ribosomal RNA, 514 nt
Filed under: Leptogaster flavipes
Lineage: Eukaryota; Metazoa; Arthropoda; Insecta; Diptera; Asilidae
Description: partial 16S ribosomal RNA
Rfam family: Bacterial large subunit ribosomal RNA
Source: RNAcentral